Thalassophryne amazonica is the source of this 330-nucleotide long non-coding RNA. RefSeq lists it as uncharacterized. Lineage: Eukaryota; Metazoa; Chordata; Actinopteri; Batrachoidiformes; Batrachoididae. The record is from RefSeq and is a predicted model, not a curated record. The transcript is spliced from 3 exons.
GGCUAGACCUGGACCCAGCAGGACAGAUGCCUUGACCUCAGAUGAGGUUGUGCUUUUCCAUGAGGACAGUGUAGACGCUUCAGCUCAGGAAGCAGGCGUAUCACAUCAGGAGGUCCCAUCAAGUGGUCCUGUUCAUCCAGUAGAUGCUUGGAUUACAGAGCUGGAUCCCAUCAAGGCAGCACAACUGUUUACCCAUGUCACUCGUGAGGCCCACAGAGAUGGCGACCCCUUGUCGUUGAAUUUUAAUCUGCAGGAUUCAGUGGAGGACAGGAACAAGGCUAUUAUAUCUUUUUAUAAGAGGCCGCAUGUGCAGUGGGUGAAUCAACAGCA